This 254-nucleotide ribosomal RNA is filed under the name uncultured bacterium. RNAcentral describes it as "partial 16S ribosomal RNA". It matches the Rfam family "Bacterial small subunit ribosomal RNA", at positions 524 to 776 of the family's 1533-position model. The record is from RNAcentral.
UACGGAGGGUGCAAGCGUUAUCCGGAUUCACUGGGCGUAAAGGGCGCGUAGGCGGUCAGCACAAGUCAGUUGUGAAAUCUCCGGGCUUAACUCGGAACGGUCAAGUGAUACUGUCGGGCUAGAGUGCAGAAGGGGCAACUGGAAUUCUCGGUGUAGCGGUGAAAUGCGUAGAUAUCGAGAGGAACACCUGCGGCGAAGGCGGGUUGCUGGGCUGACACUGACGCUGAGGCGCGAAAGCCAGGGGAGCGAACGGG